RNAcentral lists this ribosomal RNA (484 nucleotides) under uncultured bacterium. RNAcentral describes it as "partial 16S ribosomal RNA". It matches the Rfam family "Bacterial small subunit ribosomal RNA", at positions 30 to 507 of the family's 1533-position model. The record is from RNAcentral.
AUUGAACGCUAGCGGGAUGCUUUACACAUGCAAGUCGAACGGCAGCGCGGACUUCGGUCUGGCGGCGAGUGGCGAACGGGUGAGUAAUGUAUCGGAACGUGCCCAGUAGCGGGGGAUAACUACGCGAAAGCGUAGCUAAUACCGCAUACGCCCUACGGGGGAAAGCAGGGGAUCGUAAGACCUUGCACUAUUGGAGCGGCCGAUAUCGGAUUAGCUAGUUGGUGAGGUAACGGCUCACCAAGGCGACGAUCCGUAGCUGGUUUGAGAGGACGACCAGCCACACUGGGACUGAGACACGGCCCAGACUCCUACGGGAGGCAGCAGUGGGGAAUUUUGGACAAUGGGGGCAACCCUGAUCCAGCCAUCCCGCGUGUGGGAUGAAGGCCUUCGGGUUGUAAAGCACUUUUGGCAGGAAAGAAACGUCGCGGGCUAAUACCCCGUGGAACUGACGGUACCUGCAGAAUAAGCACCGGCUAACUACGUG